GAUGUACUCCCUCCGUCCCAAAAUUCUUGUCUUAGAUUUGUCUAGAUACGGAUGUACCUAAUACGUACUAAAAUGUGACUUGAUACAUCCAUAUUUAGACAAAUCUAAGACAAGAAUUUUGGGACGGAGGGAGUAGGAA
Molecule: non-coding RNA, 139 nt
Organism: Triticum aestivum (bread wheat)
Lineage: Eukaryota; Viridiplantae; Streptophyta; Magnoliopsida; Poales; Poaceae
Source: Rfam